GGGCAGUUGGCUCAGUUGGUAGAGCACACGCUUCACAUGCGUGGGGUCAUAGGUCCGAGUCCUAUACUGCCCA
Molecule: transfer RNA, 73 nt
Filed under: Anaerolineae bacterium CFX7
Lineage: Bacteria; Bacillati; Chloroflexota; Anaerolineae
Description: tRNA-Val
Rfam family: tRNA
About the family: Transfer RNA (tRNA) molecules are approximately 80 nucleotides in length. Their secondary structure includes four short double-helical elements and three loops (D, anti-codon, and T loops).
Source: RNAcentral